GCCGCUGUGGCGGAAUUGGUAGACGCGCGCGACUCAAAAUCGCGUAUCGAAAGGUGUACCGGUUCGACUCCGGUCAGCGGUA
This 82-nucleotide transfer RNA is filed under the name Bacteroidota bacterium. RNAcentral's name for it is "Bacteroidetes bacterium (aquifer metagenome) tRNA-Leu". It matches the Rfam family "tRNA". From Rfam's summary of the family: Transfer RNA (tRNA) molecules are approximately 80 nucleotides in length. Their secondary structure includes four short double-helical elements and three loops (D, anti-codon, and T loops). Further hydrogen bonds mediate the characteristic L-shaped molecular structure. tRNAs have two regions of fundamental functional importance: the anti-codon, which is responsible for specific mRNA codon recognition, and the 3' end, to which the tRNAs corresponding amino acid is attached (by aminoacyl-tRNA synthetases). tRNAs cope with the degeneracy of the genetic code in two manners: having more than one tRNA (with a specific anti-codon) for a particular amino acid; and 'wobble' base-pairing, i.e. permitting non-standard base-pairing at the 3rd anti-codon position. The record is from RNAcentral. Lineage: Bacteria; Pseudomonadati; Bacteroidota.